CCUACGGGGGGCUGCAGUGGGGAAUAUUGGACAAUGGGGGCAACCCUGAUCCAGCCAUGCCGCGUGUGUGAAGAAGGCCCUCGGGUUGUAAGGCACUUUCAGUGAGGAAGAACGCCUGGUGGUUAAUACCCAUCAGGAAAGACAUCACUCACAGAAGAAGCACCGGCUAACUCCGUGCCAGCAGCCGCGGUAAUACGGAGGGUGCGAGCGUUAAUCGGAAUUACUGGGCGUAAAGCGCGCGUAGGUGGCUUGAUAAGCCGGUUGUGAAAGCCCCGGGCUCAACCUGGGAACGGCAUCCGGAACUGUCAAGCUAGAGUGCAGGAGAGGAAGGUAGAAUUCCCGGUGUAGCGGUGAAAUGCGUAGAGAUCGGGAGGAAUACCAGUGGCGAAGGCGGCCUUCUGGACUGACACUGACACUGAGGUGCGAAAGCGUGGGUAGCAAACAGGAUUAGAUACCCGAGUAGUC
This 465-nucleotide ribosomal RNA is filed under the name Vreelandella stevensii. Its description in RNAcentral is "partial 16S ribosomal RNA". It matches the Rfam family "Bacterial small subunit ribosomal RNA", at positions 338 to 795 of the family's 1533-position model. Lineage: Bacteria; Pseudomonadati; Pseudomonadota; Gammaproteobacteria; Oceanospirillales; Halomonadaceae. The record is from RNAcentral.